Molecule: long non-coding RNA, 573 nt
Organism: Ornithodoros turicata
Lineage: Eukaryota; Metazoa; Arthropoda; Arachnida; Ixodida; Argasidae
Exons: 3
Source: RefSeq, a predicted model, not a curated record
ACUGUGCCAAAUGACAUACGGAGACAGCUCGAAGGCACAAUGUUGAAGAAACCGACGCGGGAACCGGGAUACCUGAGCUGCCUAAUAUAACAUGUCGUGCGUCUCCGAUGACUGUAUCUAAAUGUUUGCAAUCCUUUAAUUAAACAUUGCAGGUCCCUGACAUCGUGCGAGUAGGUAUUCUCGGCUAUCCGUGUGUCUGCUUGGACUUUCGUGUGGAUGAAGCAGCGAGUAAUCCACAGUGAGGAGUCACAGUGCACUGCACUCUGCCGCACUCUUAUGUGUGUCAACAGAGUUUGCGUUCUGUGCAAGACUCUAUCUAUCGGUGUUUUAUCGACAACUCAACCGGAAAAGUGCUUGUUGUGUGCGCACGUGUUUCCUUUCCCUGCUCAUACGCCCGCAUUCCGGCUCCAAGCGUUGCAACGCAGGAGUGUUGGAUGACCGCGGUAAAGUAGUUUAAAUAUGCCUACUGCAUUCGUUUUGUAUGUGGCUGUAUUUCUUGGAAUCCCAUGCAUAGAUAUCGUGACACUGGAAAAUAAAGUGAAUUCUGUUUUUAUAUCGUGCAUAUCUUUGUCA